This 57-nucleotide microRNA precursor is filed under the name Sarcophilus harrisii (Tasmanian devil). Its description in RNAcentral is "Sha-Mir-875_pre stem-loop". Lineage: Eukaryota; Metazoa; Chordata; Mammalia; Dasyuromorphia; Dasyuridae. The record is from RNAcentral.
AAUACCUCAGUCUUAUCAGGUGUUCUUUAAAAUCACCUGGAAAUGCUGAGGUUGCGU